RNAcentral lists this transfer RNA (76 nucleotides) under Candidatus Desulfofervidus auxilii. RNAcentral's name for it is "tRNA-Ala". It matches the Rfam family "tRNA". From Rfam's summary of the family: Transfer RNA (tRNA) molecules are approximately 80 nucleotides in length. Their secondary structure includes four short double-helical elements and three loops (D, anti-codon, and T loops). RNAcentral also lists the same sequence under 3 other names. Lineage: Bacteria; Pseudomonadati; Thermodesulfobacteriota; Candidatus Desulfofervidia; Candidatus Desulfofervidales; Candidatus Desulfofervidaceae. The record is from RNAcentral.
GGGGCUGUAGCUCAGUUGGGAGAGCGCUUGAAUGGCAUUCAAGAGGUCAGGGGUUCGAAUCCCCUCAGCUCCACCA